RNAcentral lists this ribosomal RNA (254 nucleotides) under uncultured prokaryote. Its description in RNAcentral is "partial 16S ribosomal RNA". It matches the Rfam family "Bacterial small subunit ribosomal RNA", at positions 524 to 776 of the family's 1533-position model. The record is from RNAcentral.
GACGAACCGUGCGAACGUUAUUCGGAAUCACUGGGCUUAAAGCGCGUGUAGGCGGAUGGCCGCGUCGAGAGCUGAAAGCCCCCGGCUCAACCGGGGGACCGGCCUCGAAACGGGCCGUCUGGAGGGGCGUAGGGGGAGCUGGAACUCACGGUGGAGCGGUGAAAUGCGUUGAGAUCGUGAGGAACGCCCGCGGCGAAAGCGAGCUCCUGGACGCCUGCUGACGCUGAGACGCGAAAGCCAGGGGAGCGAACGGG